Pelobates cultripes (western spadefoot toad) is the source of this 212-nucleotide non-coding RNA. The record is from the annotation of a GenBank genome assembly. Lineage: Eukaryota; Metazoa; Chordata; Amphibia; Anura; Pelobatidae.
GUGGCUACACAUAUAUCCAAUUUUAACUACAGUGGUCACUGGACUGGCUUGUACAUUCCUCAGACAGUAGAAGCUUCAAACUGGGAAAAAUAAAUAAAAAGACUUAUCAUUUAUUGUAGCUGAACAGAGUACGCCAUAGUUAGAAACCACAGUCUAAUAAAUGUGUCUGUUUAAAUGUAGUGACUUAACUACACUUUGGUAAUAAGGUAAAG